Molecule: ribosomal RNA, 753 nt
Filed under: uncultured Verrucomicrobia EV152
Lineage: Bacteria; Pseudomonadati; Verrucomicrobiota
Description: bacterial SSU rRNA
Rfam family: Bacterial small subunit ribosomal RNA
Source: RNAcentral
UUGUUCGGAUUCACUGGGCGUAAAGGGUGCGUAGGUGGCGGGGUAAGUCUGAUGUGAAAUCUCCGAGCUUAACUCGGAAAUGGCAUUGGAAACUAUCCUGCUCGAGGGUUGGAGGGGGGACUGGAAUACUUGGUGAAGCAGUGAAAUGCGUAGAUAUCAAGUGGAACACCGGUGGCGAAGGCGAGUCCCUGGACAACUCCUGACACUGAGGCACGAAAGCUAAGGGGAGCAAACAGGAUUAGAUACCCUGGUAGUCCUAGCUGUAAACGGUGCACGUUUGCUGUAAAAGGAAUCGACCCCUUUUGUGGCGUAGCUAACGCGUUAAACGUGCCGCCUGGGAAGUACGGUCGCAAGAUUAAAACUCAAAGAAAUUGACGGGGGCCUGCACAAGCGGUGGAGUAUGUGGCUCAAUUCGAUGCAACGCGAAGAACCUUACCUGGCCUUGACAUGCAAGUAGUAGAAGGAUGAAAGUCUAACGAGGUAGCAAUACCAGCUUGCACAGGCGCUGCGUGGCUGUCGUCAGCUCGUGUCGUGAGAUGUUGGGUUAAGUCCCGCAACGAGCGCAACCCCUGUGUCCUGUUGCCACUCGAACGAGAGUUCGAAGCACUCUGGACAGACUGCCUCGCUUAAACGAGGAGGAAGGUGGGGAUGACGUCAAGUCAGUAUGGCCCUUACGGCCAGGGCUGCACACGUACUACAAUGCCCGGCACAAAGGGAAGCAAGACCGCGAGGUGGAGCAAAUCCCCAAAAACC